Long non-coding RNA from Rana temporaria (common frog), 476 nucleotides. RefSeq lists it as uncharacterized. The transcript has 2 exons. The record is from RefSeq and is a predicted model, not a curated record. NCBI's taxonomy places the organism in Eukaryota, Metazoa, Chordata, Amphibia, Anura, Ranidae.
UAUCACUUAAGUCUGAAGGACGUCAAACCAGCUCAGCAAAAACAGGAUUAACGGUCGCAUUCACCGAGCAGAGCAUUGAGUAAGAGUGCCGCCGGCCUUUACAUAGAUAUGCACGGCAUGGGGGGCAUUUUUUCCGCCACGGUUCUUGGUACUGGAAGGGUCUGCUCUGUUGCACAAGAGGGCCUUGGAGAGAAUUAAAUGUAUCAAGUGCUUUCCUAGAAAAAUGCAGCAAGACUGCCUGCCAGCUGGUCGGAUGUCAGUGUCCAAGCCCGGCUGCCGAGAUCACCGCGGAUGAGUCAUGAGUUCAUGUUUUCAAUCAUUUCCCCCUGAAGAGACCUCCAUUAUCAAAGGUCGAAACGUGUCGGGGUUUCUAGUACAAGUCUACUUUUUUGUUACAUGAACUCACAUAGUUGUAUUUAUGUAUCUACUUUUAAAUCGCAUUUUGGAACUAAUAAAUUAUUUCUUGAACUUUGGAA